Molecule: long non-coding RNA, 1004 nt
Organism: Lolium perenne
Lineage: Eukaryota; Viridiplantae; Streptophyta; Magnoliopsida; Poales; Poaceae
Source: RefSeq, a predicted model, not a curated record
GAAAUACCCUUUUUGUUCAUAUCAGUAUUACAGGGAGCAACCAUGCAAGGUUGUGACCAAACAAUCCUGUAGAACAGUUGGGAGAAGAACUGGAAGGGCCCAUUUAUACAUACGAACUGUUCAUUAUCAUAAAAGCCUGGAAUAAACAUAGAUAUGCAGAUCACCGAUACGUAAUUCACUGCACACAGCGAAUCUCCUGUUCGGGGCAGCCGUUGGGUGCUACAAUUGGACCCGUGGCUAAUCAUUUGUCCGCGCUGGCUUUUGCUUAUGUUGGUGGGUUUCUUCAAAUUAUUGCAGACAAUAUAGCUUCCUUCUUCUUGCUGAAUUCCUUAUAAUCCAGUUCUACAUAUGGCAUUAUCUGCUUUACAUGAUCAGCAUGCAGUCCAUUUACAAUUGCUUAAUUAUGUUUCCAAGGAAAUACAUUGGAGGGUUGUGUGCCAAGCAACCACAUAGGUCAAUUCAGAGACUAAUUGAAGAAAGAUACGAUCUUUCAUUUGAGAAGUUGUUCAUCAUCUCUGAAGCAUGAAGAAAGAUCCAAGAAGUUUUAUGUAUCUUGACAAUUUUGCAAUGUUGCUUACAAUGCGCAACAGUUUGGAGCUCUAGCAGCACACAUUGGAGAUAAUGCUCUUCUUUCAGGCUCAAUAUAUACUCAUUAUCUACAGUGCAAUACAUGAGAAGAGUUUUUGUCCUUGGAAUUAUUCCCAGCUAAAUAGGUCACUGCACCUGUCUAGGUAAAAUUUCAGGACCGAUUUUAACUAAAUGGUAUAGGCUGCAGUGUAUCAAAUGAAAUCAUUUCCAUCCUCUUUUCUUUGCAGAAAAUAUAAUUAAUAUACAACAAGUGAGUCCAGCUAAAAGUCAAACGAGCAAAAUCCCAGAUUGAUGAGCCAAAUAGUUCAUGUGGAAAAAUAUAUUUUGUGUCUAGGCGUGGCCACAAACCUGACGGAAAAUACAGUCAUCUAUUUGCAGCUGUGGCCAGUAUGAAUGACACGCAGCUAAUGUAAUAU